UACGUAGGGUGCGAGCGUUAAUCGGAAUUACUGGGCGUAAAGCGUGCGCAGGCGGUUCGCCAAGUCAGGUGUGAAAUCCCCGGGCUUAACCUGGGAAUUGCGCUUGAAACUAGCGGGCUUGAGUGUGGCAGAGGGGGGUGGAAUUCUCGGUGUAGAGGUGAAAUUCGUAGAUAUCGAGAGGAACACCGGUGGCGAAGGCGGCCUUCUGGACAGUGACUGACGCUGAGACGCGAAAGCGUGGGGAGCAAACAGG
RNAcentral lists this ribosomal RNA (253 nucleotides) under uncultured bacterium. RNAcentral's name for it is "partial 16S ribosomal RNA". It matches the Rfam family "Bacterial small subunit ribosomal RNA", at positions 524 to 776 of the family's 1533-position model. The record is from RNAcentral.